This 377-nucleotide unclassified non-coding RNA is filed under the name uncultured Gammaproteobacteria bacterium. RNAcentral's name for it is "contains 16S-23S intergenic spacer region". Lineage: Bacteria; Pseudomonadati; Pseudomonadota; Gammaproteobacteria. The record is from RNAcentral.
UCCGGUUUGUCACCGGCAGUCCCAUUAGAGUGCCCAACUGAAUGUGGCAACUAAUGGCAAGGGUUGCGCUCGUUGCGGGACUUAACCCAACAUCUCACGACACGAGCUGACGACAGCCAUGCAGCACCUGUGUUGCGGUUCCCUUUCGGGCACCGAGGUAUCUCUACCCCGUUCCGUACAUGUCAAAGGUGGGUAAGGUUUUUCGCGUUGCAUCGAAUUAAACCACAUCAUCCACCGCUUGUGCGGGUCCCCGUUAAUUCCUUUGAGUUUUAACCUUGCGGCCGUACUCCCCAGGCGGAUGACUUAAUGCGUUAGCUGCGCCACCGAAAGCCCAUGGCCCCCGACAGCUAGUCAUCAUCGUUUACGGCGUGGACUAC